RNAcentral lists this transfer RNA (17 nucleotides) under Drosophila mercatorum. RNAcentral describes it as "partial tRNA-Lys". The record is from RNAcentral. Lineage: Eukaryota; Metazoa; Arthropoda; Insecta; Diptera; Drosophilidae.
CACAAAAUGACUGAAAG